UACGGAGGGUGCAAACGUUGCUCGGAAUUAUUGGGCGUAAAGCGCACGUAGGCGGUUUCGUAAGUCGGAUGUGAAAGCCCAGGGCUCAACCCUGGAAGUGCAUUCGAAACUGCGGGGCUGGAGUAUGGAAGAGGGUCGCGGAAUUCCCGGUGUAGAGGUGAAAUUCGUAGAUAUCGGGAGGAACACCAGUGGCGAAGGCGGCGACCUGGGCCAAUACUGACGCUGAGGUGCGAAAGCGUGGGGAGCAAACAGG
RNAcentral lists this ribosomal RNA (253 nucleotides) under uncultured bacterium. RNAcentral describes it as "partial 16S ribosomal RNA". It matches the Rfam family "Bacterial small subunit ribosomal RNA", at positions 524 to 776 of the family's 1533-position model. The record is from RNAcentral.